UUAUUACGACAGGGGAGCGCCGCCGUCGGGGAUCACUGGCAACUGCCAGCCGAACCUUGGAUGGGCGCUGAGAGUGCGGACAGCCGCAGACCCUCGAACCUGAUCCGGCUAGUACCGGCGUAAGGGAGUCGAGUUCUCAAAGUG
This is a non-coding RNA of Arthrobacter sp. Soil736, 144 nucleotides long. The record is from Rfam. Lineage: Bacteria; Bacillati; Actinomycetota; Actinomycetes; Micrococcales; Micrococcaceae.